Molecule: ribosomal RNA, 463 nt
Filed under: uncultured bacterium
Lineage: Bacteria
Description: SSU rRNA
Rfam family: Bacterial small subunit ribosomal RNA
Source: RNAcentral
AGGAUGAACGCUGGCGGUGUGCUUAAUACAUGCAAGUCGAGCGGUAAGGUCUCUUCGGAGAUACACGAGCGGCGGACGGCUGAGUAACACGUAGGAAUCUACCCUAAACUGAGGGAUAAGCACCAGAAAUGGUGUCUAAUACCGCAUACGCUCUUCGGAGUAAAGCUACGGCGGUUUAGGAAGAGCCUGCGUCCGAUUAGCUUGUUGGUAAGGUAAUGGCUUACCAAGGCGACGAUCGGUAGCUGGUCUGAGAGGAUGACCAGCCCAGACUGGGACUGAGAACGGCCCAGACUCCUACGGGAGGCAGCAGUAGGGAAUUUUCCACAAUGGGCGAAAGCCUGAUGGAGCAACACCGCGUGCAGGAUGAAUGCCUUCGGGUUGUAAACUGUCUUUUAUAUGUGAAGAUUAUGACGGUAGCAUAUAGAAUAAGGAUCGGCUAACUCCGUGCCAGCAGCCGCGGUAA